UACGUAGGGUGCGAGCGUUGUCCGGAAUUACUGGGCGUAAAGCGCACGUAGGCGGAUAUUUAAGUCAGGGGUGAAAUCCCGGGGCUCAACCCCGGAACUGCCUUUGAUACUGGGUAUCUCGAGUCCGAGAGAGGUGAGUGGAAUUCCGAGUGUAGAGGUGAAAUUCGUAGAUAUUCGGAGGAACACCAGUGGCGAAGGCGGCUCACUGGCUCGGUACUGACGCUGAGGUGCGAAAGCGUGGGGAGCAAACAGG
RNAcentral lists this ribosomal RNA (253 nucleotides) under uncultured bacterium. Its description in RNAcentral is "partial 16S ribosomal RNA". It matches the Rfam family "Bacterial small subunit ribosomal RNA", at positions 524 to 776 of the family's 1533-position model. The record is from RNAcentral.